CGGACGGGUGAGUAACACGUGGAUAACCUACCUAUAAGACUGGGAUAACUUCGGGAAACCGGAGCUAAUACCGGAUAAUAUAUUGAACUGCAUGGUUCAAUAGUGAAAGACGGUUUUGCUGUCACUUAUAGAUGGAUCCGCGCCGCAUUAGCUAGUUGGUAAGGUAACGGCUUACCAAGGCAACGAUGCGUAGCCGACCUGAGAGGGUGAUCGGCCACAUUGGAACUGAGACACGGUCCAG
This 241-nucleotide ribosomal RNA is filed under the name uncultured Staphylococcus sp. Its description in RNAcentral is "partial 16S ribosomal RNA". It matches the Rfam family "Bacterial small subunit ribosomal RNA", at positions 99 to 334 of the family's 1533-position model. The record is from RNAcentral. Lineage: Bacteria; Bacillati; Bacillota; Bacilli; Caryophanales; Staphylococcaceae.